AUGCUGAGGCAGAGCUCUAGUAGGAACCACAGAUCGAAAGGUCUGAAGCUAAAGAAAGCUCUUCAGAUAAGUCUUUUGGUUCUUGUGUCUGUUUGGUUGCUCUACCAAGUAAAGCAUUCUUACGAGAAGAAGACGGCAUAUAAUGAAAAUGAUGCCACCAAUCACGAAGCCGGUGAUGAGCAUAAAGAUGAUCAGAGCCAGGUGGGCGUCAUCAAACUGGGCAGGAAAGACCUGCCAGCAAAGGAGGCCGAUUCGUCAACACUGGAUGAACGGGUUGAGGACGAAGAGAAUGAGGAGAUGGACCCAGAAAUGAAGCGCGAUGAGCAUGAUGACGACCCCAUUGAUGAGCCGGACCUGGACAAGGAUGAGGAUCUUCCUGAGCCUGGGGAGCACUCGGCUAACAAGGAUGAAGGGUCAGACGGCAGGGCUGUGUUUGAGGACGAAGAGCGUAAAGAGCGCUCUCAGGAGGAUCAAGAGAAGAGUUUCCAUGGUGAUGAUGUCUCUAGCGCUGUAACACAUGACCCUCCGUCAUCGCAGCAAGAUGUGCUGACCCAUCAUGCCCAAGAGAAGAUCUUGUUCGUGGAUGAUGCUUCAACUGCAGUUCCUCAUGAAAACCAGGAACCUGAGCACAAGGAGGAGGAAGAUCGUAAGGCUAGGGAGAAGAGUUCUGGAGGUGAGAACGUUUCAAGUUCUGUGGACCAUGAUGCCCAACUCACGAAUCCUCUCCCGGACGAACAGCUGAAGAACAUGGAUAGGAUCUUUGAAGGCACCACCAAUUUAUCAAAUGGAUUUACAUUCCGGGGUCCUGGAGUGAAUGGAAGCAAUGCUGUCGGGGAGCACGAGGCUUCAGGAUCUAAUGCGUCGUCCAACCCAAACAUGAGCACUCCCAGCAUGGUCUCGGAAAGCAAGACUGAUCCAACUCCAGUAAAUGUGACAAGCAACUAUGCUGGAUCAGUGACAAGUAAUUCAACCUCUUUGAAAGGUCAACAUGAGCAGCCAGUAAAUUCAACAGCAGCAUCAAACAACCAAACACAACUCUUAGCUGACCUGACAUCAGCCGAGCUGAAUUCUCCACCGAAUGGGACUACGGUGGCUUCGGGUUCAACCGAUGCCCAAAAGGCCACAUCUAGAGACGGAGACAAUGGCGGUAACAACACCGACACCUCUUCCACUCCGGCCAGCAAUAAAGAAGACGGCGGCGGCGACGCUCAGAAAGAAGACCAAGACGUGUCGACGAAAAUCAUGAACAAAGCGAUCGGCGAAGGCGAAGUUCUCCUGGAGUGA
Molecule: ribosomal RNA, 1284 nt
Filed under: Triticum aestivum (bread wheat)
Lineage: Eukaryota; Viridiplantae; Streptophyta; Magnoliopsida; Poales; Poaceae
Description: partial small subunit ribosomal RNA
Source: RNAcentral